GGUUAAGCGACUAAGCGUACACGGUGGAUGCCCUGGCAGUCAGAGGCGAUGAAGGACGUGCUAAUCUGCGAAAAGCGCCGGCGAGGUGAUAUGAACCUUUGACCCGGCGAUGUCCGAAUGGGGAAACCCAGUGUGUUCCGACACACUAUCGUUAACUGAAUACAUAGGUUAACGAGGCGAACCGGGGGAACUGAAACAUCUAAGUACCCCGAGGAAAAGAAAUCAACCGAGAUUCCCCCAGUAGCGGCGAGCGAACGGGGAGCAGCCCAGAGUCUGAAUCAGCUUGUGUGUUAGUGGAAGCGUCUGGAAAGUCGCACGGUACAGGGUGACAGUCCCGUACACGAAAAUGCACAGGUUGUGAACUCGAAGAGUAGGGCGGGACACGUGGUAUCCUGUCUGAAUAUGGGGGGACCAUCCUCCAAGGCUAAAUACUCCUGACUGACCGAUAGUGAACCAGUACCGUGAGGGAAAGGCGA
Molecule: ribosomal RNA, 476 nt
Filed under: Enterobacter roggenkampii
Lineage: Bacteria; Pseudomonadati; Pseudomonadota; Gammaproteobacteria; Enterobacterales; Enterobacteriaceae
Description: partial 23S ribosomal RNA
Rfam family: Bacterial large subunit ribosomal RNA
Source: RNAcentral